AGCAGGAGUGAAUGCAUGAGUU
This 22-nucleotide microRNA is filed under the name Aedes aegypti (yellow fever mosquito). RNAcentral's name for it is "Aae-Mir-11895-P2_5p* (star (passenger))". The record is from RNAcentral. Lineage: Eukaryota; Metazoa; Arthropoda; Insecta; Diptera; Culicidae.